GUGGUUGUGAUAGUGAAAUAAGAAAAUGUGAGUAAAAGUCCUUUGGAAACCAUGGCAGCACUAACCCUAUGCCGGGGAUUCUUACUGCUGCUAUAGUUAUUGCCACUGAUCGUAAAUAAAUCAUGUUGUUUUCAGACAUCAUCCCAUAAGCCCUGGCCAUCUAAAGGUUUUCUUGCUGCAACAAGGAAAUGGCAACUCACUCCAGUAGUCUUGCCUGGGAAGUCCAUGGAUAGAGGAGCCUGGCAGGCUGCAGUCCGUGGGGUCUUUGCAACUACACCACCACUCUGCAAGCCAGCAGAGUGCAACCCAUAUCUUUGUCCUAGAGAUGUGACAGACUAUGUGGGUGAGCGGAAGAGACCUCAAAGCCACUUCCUAACAGCUCAGGGUCUCACAGCUUCCCAAAGUAACCAGGUGCCGAGACAGAUGACCCUACAAAACCAGUCAGGGAUGUCGGAGGAGGAACUGAGACUAUCGUGCGUGCUCGAUCAGGGAGGUGAAAGCUCACGGUAGCGCCACAGGCCAAGCUCCACCACCGGCUAAAGGUUAAGAAGCAGCUGUAGCCUUCAAGCAAGGCCAAGGCUGGAGGUCCCUAUGCUUGGAAGAGGCUGCUACGAGGCUUCUCUUUGCCUGGAAUCCUUGGCAAAACUGCAGAAAGCCCAACUGGGAAGCUGCACCACGCAGACUGGGGCCAUUCUGGGCCAGACUGAGUUAGCCACCACGCUGCAGCUGUACUGGUAAAGAGAAAACACACCUGAGGCAACAGUAAAGCC
Molecule: long non-coding RNA, 770 nt
Organism: Bos taurus (domestic cattle)
Lineage: Eukaryota; Metazoa; Chordata; Mammalia; Artiodactyla; Bovidae
Source: Ensembl